Molecule: ribosomal RNA, 640 nt
Filed under: uncultured Sporomusa sp.
Lineage: Bacteria; Bacillati; Bacillota; Negativicutes; Selenomonadales; Sporomusaceae
Description: bacterial SSU rRNA
Rfam family: Bacterial small subunit ribosomal RNA
Source: RNAcentral
AAACUUAAAGGAAUUGACGGGGGCCCGCACAAGCGGUGGAGUAUGUGGUUUAAUUCGACGCAACGCGAAGAACCUUACCAGGGCUUGACAUUGAGUGAAAGACUAAGAGAUUAGUUCCUAUCUUCGGAUACACGAAAACAGGUGGUGCAUGGCUGUCGUCAGCUCGUGUCGUGAGAUGUUGGGUUAAGUCCCGCAACGAGCGCAACCCUUAUCCUUUGUUGCCAGCGAGUAAUGUCGGGAACUCAAGGGAGACUGCCGUCGACAAGACGGAGGAAGGCGGGGAUGACGUCAAGUCAUCAUGCCCCUUAUGUCCUGGGCUACACACGUACUACAAUGGGCUUAAACAAAGCGAAGCAAGACCGCGAGGUCAAGCAAAACGCAUAAACAAGCUCUCAGUUCGGAUCGGAGGCUGCAACUCGCCUCCGUGAAGUCGGAAUCGCUAGUAAUCGCAGGUCAGCAUACUGCGGUGAAUACGUUCCCGGGCCUUGUACACACCGCCCGUCACACCACGAAAGUUGACAACACCCGAAGCCGGUGGGGUAACCAGCAAUGGAACUAGCCGUCUAAGGUGGGGCCGAUGAUUGGGGUGAAGUCGUAACAAGGUAGCCGUAUCGGAAGGUGCGGCUGGAUCACCUCCUUU